AGCCUUGAGAUCGUCAUUUAAGGUUAGACCUGCCCAGUGUGUGAGCAUAAAUGGCCGCGGUACUUUGACCGUGCUAAGGUAGCGUAAUUAGUUGGUUUUUAAAUGGAGCCAGGUAUGAAUGGAGUUACGGGGUUUUUCUGUCUCCCGGCUACUUUAUUUAAAUUACUAUAUGGGUGAAAAAGCCCAUAAACAGAAAAAGGACGAGAAGACCCUUAGAGUUUUUCUCGCAAGCCGUUUAGUUGGGGCAACAGAGGAGCAAAUCUCCACAAAUCGAUUAUUUUAGAUCUGGAUAAACUACCUUAGGGAUAACAGCAUAAUUUUAAAAUUAAGUUUGUGACCUCGAUGUUGGACUAGGAAACUGGAAGGCUAGCCGCUUUCCAGGAAAGUUCUGUUCGAACUAAUAUUCCU
Molecule: ribosomal RNA, 408 nt
Filed under: Roboastra nikolae
Lineage: Eukaryota; Metazoa; Mollusca; Gastropoda; Nudibranchia; Polyceridae
Description: partial small subunit ribosomal RNA
Rfam family: Bacterial large subunit ribosomal RNA
Source: RNAcentral